CAAGUUUGGAGCCCAGAAAGAAUGCACCUGAAACCAUCUACUAAAGGCAAUCUACCCAGAGCUUCAUGCAUCUGAUCUACCUUCUUCAAUAUCCUUGGCAGGACAUUUCUCCAGAAGCACUCUCUCAAAGAAACUUCAGUCACCACCACAAGGACCUCUCUUUACCGUUCUGGUUGCAUGGUCUGUGCUCUGCACAGUUUAACCACAGCAAAAAAGCCCAGGACCUGUGUUCUGCUGGAUCUGUCUGAUUCUCUUUCAACUGUCGAUGGGUUUGUGAACACUGGAAUUCUGUUGACAUGACUUGAGCAUAACUUCUGCUUUGGCUAAAGCUCAUCUUUCAGAAAAGCAUCCCAAUGAGAUGGAAAAUCCACCAAUUCCCUUUGUAGUUUGUUCCAGGAGUAAAAAAAUAAAAAAAUAAAUUGUGCCU
Molecule: long non-coding RNA, 427 nt
Organism: Alligator sinensis (Chinese alligator)
Lineage: Eukaryota; Metazoa; Chordata; Crocodylia; Alligatoridae
Exons: 4
Source: RefSeq, a predicted model, not a curated record